GGGCAAGGAAACACAAGCUGGCUUACAGGUGGAAUACCUGAGAGUCUCCAGAGAGGACCCAUGACAGACAGCUGAGACAUGGAUGGACACGAGCCCCAGAGAGACUUCAGAUCUGGCUGGAGCAGAUUCAGAAAACCUCUUAUCUCCCCCAGGCGGAUGAUGUGCCCACCGACCACAUCAGCCACGUGAGAUCCAGUGCGACAGUGGAGCAUGUGUGCGCAGAGGAGACAGGAACAACAACCGGGAUGUCAUGCGGGCGCACUGGGGCUCCUUGUGGCCCCAGUGCACAGAAUUCUGGUGGACCCACCAUGUGUGGGAGCUCAGUGAGACUCAAAGUAAGUGCAAGGCCCUCCUCACACAUCGUACGCUGAAGGUGGAGCACACUGGGAAAAUGUGCAUGCAUCAAGAAGAAAAAUGAAAACUGAUUUUGUGCAACAUUUCCACUGUUCUUGGAAGAAUGAAAUAAAUGCAUAUGAG
Molecule: long non-coding RNA, 477 nt
Filed under: Homo sapiens (human)
Lineage: Eukaryota; Metazoa; Chordata; Mammalia; Primates; Hominidae
Description: non-protein coding ARHGAP26-AS1:6
Source: RNAcentral